Molecule: non-coding RNA, 54 nt
Organism: Salmo salar (Atlantic salmon)
Lineage: Eukaryota; Metazoa; Chordata; Actinopteri; Salmoniformes; Salmonidae
Source: Rfam
AACAAUAAUAAUUGUAAGUCGCUCUGGAUAAGAGCGUCUGCUAAAUGACUUAAA